CAGCAGCAGCCACGGUAAUACGAAGGGGGCUAGCGUUGUUCGGAAUUACUGGGCGUAAAGCGCACGUAGGCGGAUACUUAAGUCAGGGGUGAAAUCCCGGGGCUCAACCCCGGAACUGCCUUUGAUACUGGGUAUCUCGAGUCCGGAAGAGGUGAGUGGAAUUCCGAGUGUAGAGGUGAAAUUCGUAGAUAUUCGGAGGAACACCAGUGGCGAAGGCGGCUCACUGGUCCGGUACUGACGCUGAGGUGCGAAAGCGUGGGGAGCAAACAGGAUUAGAUACCCCGGUAGUCCCUGUCUCUUAUAC
RNAcentral lists this ribosomal RNA (304 nucleotides) under uncultured bacterium. RNAcentral describes it as "partial 16S ribosomal RNA". It matches the Rfam family "Bacterial small subunit ribosomal RNA", at positions 506 to 807 of the family's 1533-position model. The record is from RNAcentral.